GGGCCUGUGGUGUAGUUGGCAACACGCCUCCUUCGCAAGGAGGAGACUCUGGGUUCAAAUCCCAGCAGGUCCA
Molecule: transfer RNA, 73 nt
Filed under: Candidatus Aenigmarchaeota archaeon ex4484_56
Lineage: Archaea; Nanobdellati; Candidatus Aenigmatarchaeota
Description: tRNA-Ala
Rfam family: tRNA
About the family: Transfer RNA (tRNA) molecules are approximately 80 nucleotides in length. Their secondary structure includes four short double-helical elements and three loops (D, anti-codon, and T loops).
Source: RNAcentral